CUCGGCUACGAGACGUGCUUCAGC
RNAcentral lists this non-coding RNA (24 nucleotides) under Arabidopsis thaliana (thale cress). The record is from RNAcentral. Lineage: Eukaryota; Viridiplantae; Streptophyta; Magnoliopsida; Brassicales; Brassicaceae.